GAUGAACGCUGGCGGCGUGCCUAAUACUGCAAGUCGAGCGAACAGACGAGGAGCUUGCUCCUCUGACGUUAGCGGCGGACGGGUGAGUAACACGUGGAUAACCUACCUAUAAGACUGGGAUAACUUCGGGAAACCGGAGCUAAUACCGGAUAAUAUAUUGAACCGCAUGGUUCAAUAGUGAAAGACGGUUUUGCUGUCACUUAUAGAUGGAUCCGCGCCGCAUUAGCUAGUUGGUAAGGUAACGGCUUACCAAGGCGACGAUGCGUAGCCGACCUGAGAGGGUGAUCGGCCACACUGGAACUGAGACACGGUCCAGACUCCUACGGGAGGCAGCAGUAGGGAAUCUUCCGCAAUGGGCGAAAGCCUGACGGAGCAACGCCGCGUGAGUGAUGAAGGUCUUCGGAUCGUAAAACUCUGUUAUUAGGGAAGAACAAAUGUGUAAGUAACUAUGCACGUCUUGACGGUACCUAAUCAGAAAGCCACGGCUAACUACGUG
RNAcentral lists this ribosomal RNA (496 nucleotides) under uncultured bacterium. Its description in RNAcentral is "partial 16S ribosomal RNA". It matches the Rfam family "Bacterial small subunit ribosomal RNA", at positions 28 to 507 of the family's 1533-position model. The record is from RNAcentral.